This 508-nucleotide ribosomal RNA is filed under the name uncultured bacterium. RNAcentral's name for it is "partial 16S ribosomal RNA". It matches the Rfam family "Bacterial small subunit ribosomal RNA", at positions 30 to 523 of the family's 1533-position model. The record is from RNAcentral.
AUUGAACGCUGGCGGCAGGCCUAACACAUGCAAGUCGAGCGGCAGCGGGAGAGUAGCUUGCUACUUUUGCCGGCGAGCGGCGGACGGGUGAGUAAUGCCUGGGAAAUUGCCCAGUCGAGGGGGAUAACAGUUGGAAACGACUGCUAAUACCGCAUACGCCCUACGGGGGAAAGCAGGGGACCUUCGGGCCUUGCGCGAUUGGAUAUGCCCAGGUGGGAUUAGCUAGUUGGUGAGGUAAUGGCUCACCAAGGCGACGAUCCCUAGCUGGUCCGAGAGGAUGAUCAGCCACACUGGAACUGGGACACGGUCCAGACUCCGACGGGAGGCAGCAGUGGGGAAUAUUGCACAAUGGGUGAAACCCUGAUGCAGCCAUGCCGCGUGUGUGAAGAAGGCCUUCGGGUUGUAAAGCACUUUCAGCGAGGAGGAAAGGUUGAUGCCUAAUACGUAUCAACUGUGACGUUACUCGCAGAAGAAGCACCGGCUAACUCCGUGCCAGCCGCCGCCGUAA